RNAcentral lists this ribosomal RNA (118 nucleotides) under Lepisosteus oculatus (spotted gar). The record is from RNAcentral. Lineage: Eukaryota; Metazoa; Chordata; Actinopteri; Semionotiformes; Lepisosteidae.
AGCAGUAGCAAUUUCACCCUGCAACUCACAACUGGCAACCCACUGAAGCUCAGCAGGUGUGAGCCUGGUCAGUACCUGGAUGGGAGACCUCCUGGGAAAGCUAAGGUUGCUGCUGGUA